Molecule: non-coding RNA, 1144 nt
Organism: Microtus oregoni (creeping vole)
Lineage: Eukaryota; Metazoa; Chordata; Mammalia; Rodentia; Cricetidae
Source: the annotation of a RefSeq genome assembly
AUGAGUGCAAGGCUGCUCUGCUGUCUAGCACUUUGUCUCCUUGGGGCAGGCCUUGUGGACAUGGACGUAAUCCAGACACCAAGAUAUCUGGUCAAAAGAACGGGAGAGGAGGUUUUGCUGGACUGUGUACAGGAUAUGGGCCAUGAAAGAAUGUUCUGGUAUCGACAAGACCCAGGUCUAGGGCUACGGUUGAUUCAUUUUUCAUAUGAUGUUGACAGUAACAGCAAAGGAGACAUCCCUGAAGGAUACAGGGUCUCUCGGAAGAAGCGGGAGCGUUUCUCACUGAUUCUGGAGUCUGCGAAAACCAGCCAGACAUCUGUGUACUUCUGUGCCAGCAGCCCUUAUGCUGACCCACAGGCCCAGCAUUUUGGAGAGGGGACUCGACUCUCUGUUCUAGAGGAUUUUAGCAACGUGAGUCCGCCCAAGGUCACCUUGUUUGAGCCAUCAGAAGCAGAGAUCGUCGACAAACAAAUGGCCACCCUUGUGUGCCUGGCCAGGGGCUUCUACCCUGACCAUGUGGAACUGAGCUGGUGGGUGAAUGGCAAGGAGGUCCACAGUGGAGUCAGCACAGACCCUCAGCCCUACCUGGAGAAGAAUAACCUCACCUACUGCCUGAGCAGCCGCCUGAGGGUCUCUGCGACCUUCUGGCACAAUCCUCGCAACCACUUCCUCUGCCAAGUCCAGUUCUAUGGGCUUACAGAUGAAGACGAGUGGACCGAGUCCUCGCCCAAGCCUGUCACCCAGAACAUCAGUGCAGAGGCCUGGGGCAGCGCAGAUUGUGGUAUUACCUCAGUGUCCUACCAACAAGGGGUCCUGUCUGCCACCAUCCUUUAUGAGAUCCUGCUGGGGAAGGCCACCCUGUACGCUGUGCUUGUCAGUACCCUGGUGCUGAUGGCCAUGGUCAAAAGAAAGAAUUCCUGAGGCCAGACUAGGAGGCGGAACCCAGAACUUCCAACCCCUUGUGUUGCUAAUACAGAUUCUCUGUUUCCAGCACUUCUGAAGAGUUGUCCUCAUUUGUCUGUGUGUCCCAACAUCUGCUUAUUAGUCAUGUGCACUUACCCAUGUGCAUCUGAAAUCCCUGGGACCUGGAGAGCACCUAGCAUAUAUACAAUCAAAAAACAUAACCAAUAAACUUGUUCUAGAA